Molecule: ribosomal RNA, 253 nt
Filed under: uncultured bacterium
Lineage: Bacteria
Description: partial 16S ribosomal RNA
Rfam family: Bacterial small subunit ribosomal RNA
Source: RNAcentral
UACGUAGGGUGCAAGCGUUAUCCGGAAUCACUGGGCGUAAAGCGUGCGUAGGUGGCGUGUUAAGUGUGAUGUUAAAUCGUGGGGCUCAACCCUGUCGGUGCAUCACAUACUGGCAUGCUAGAGGACAGCAGAGGCAAGUGGAAUUGGUAGUGUAGCAGUGAAAUGCGUAGAUAUUACCAGGAACACCAAUGGCGAAGGCAGCUUGCUGGGCUACUCCUGACACUGAGGUACGAAAGCGUGGGGAGCGAACAGG